Small nucleolar RNA from Neomonachus schauinslandi (Hawaiian monk seal), 153 nucleotides. NCBI's taxonomy places the organism in Eukaryota, Metazoa, Chordata, Mammalia, Carnivora, Phocidae. The record is from RefSeq and is a predicted model, not a curated record.
ACAGCACAUUUUUAAAGCUUGAGUUCAGGCCACUGGUUGGCAGAUGAACUCACAAGUGUAGACAGUGUGCUACAUGAGGGGCAAGACUUUCACCAACACCACCAGGGUCUCUGGCCCAAUAAGUAGUGUUUGGUUGUAAUUCUUGCUAUAAAU